UAACAAUAGCAUCUUCUGGCUGAUGUUUAAUAAGUUGUUUAUGGUCAUUAUGUAGCUUAUAUCUGCAUAAUUUAUCUCUUAUUCAAGGGGGCAUUCCCUGUCCCUUUGUAUUUAUCCUUUCCCACUGUUUUUUAGCAUUUUCAAUAUGGCUUUGAGUCUACAUGGGAUAGGCUUGGGUGCAAAAUCAUUUUUUAAGGUACGAAUCAUUGUAGCAAGUUGACACAAAGAAAAUAAUAUUUGUAAUAUGUCAUGUCUUAGAUAUAAAAUCUUGAUACUAAUUAAACAGCCAGUGAG
This 294-nucleotide unclassified non-coding RNA is filed under the name Hevea brasiliensis (rubber tree). The record is from RNAcentral. Lineage: Eukaryota; Viridiplantae; Streptophyta; Magnoliopsida; Malpighiales; Euphorbiaceae.